GACUUGGAGCAUCCAUCGAGAUCACUGCUAUGCUUGUUGUUCUUACUGCAGAGAGAGAGCUGUGAGCAUCGGAAACGGCACUCGUAUGGGCACCUGUUCGGCUGACAUCCACGGCUCAAUGGUUCCACAGUCCGAUAUGAGCAUCACACAGACUUCGGUUCAAGGUGGUGCAACAAUGAGCGAGCAUGUGGCUUGGUGCAGUAAUUAUGAGAUUUCAACUACGGGAUACCAGCUUUCCCACCGCGUCAACCACAGAUUUAGAAAGGAAGAGCGGGGAGCGGGGAAUGGACGGAAGAGGGAGCAUUCUCCAAUGAUGCUCGAAUACUUUGAUAAAGGAGCCACAUUAU
RNAcentral lists this small RNA (347 nucleotides) under Histoplasma capsulatum var. duboisii H88. Its description in RNAcentral is "Histoplasma capsulatum H88 hypothetical RNA". Lineage: Eukaryota; Fungi; Ascomycota; Eurotiomycetes; Onygenales; Ajellomycetaceae. The record is from RNAcentral.